Long non-coding RNA from Balaenoptera musculus (blue whale), 532 nucleotides. RefSeq lists it as uncharacterized. The record is from RefSeq and is a predicted model, not a curated record. The transcript is spliced from 4 exons. NCBI's taxonomy places the organism in Eukaryota, Metazoa, Chordata, Mammalia, Artiodactyla, Balaenopteridae.
UGCAAUAAUGAUACCUGAGACCUUCCCCAGGACUCAGAAUGGCGGGUGACUGGGAGCCCAGCCUCUCUCUCGGAAGCGGGAGUGUGCCGGCCUUGGAUCCUUCAGGAGAAACAGAUACAAGGGCCUUCUGCCUAUGAUAAAACCAAGAACCUCAGAGGUGCACAUGAAAUCCAAUAUACGGGUUGAUCAUGGUGCUAUUGCCUUGAGGAGAGGAAAGAGCCUGUGGGCCUGCCAAGGCAUCCCAUGAUCUUCAGCUGAGCAUCUGUGCCCUUGCAGUGCUGCGGGAGGUCUGGCAGAGUCCCUGUCAGCUGCCAAAGCUGUGCUGGCACUGAUGGUCCAGCAGCCUUUUCUCCAGGGAUUGGUGUACCUGCCACCUCUGGGAAGCCGUCCGAUCCCCUUGGCCUCAUCACGCCCACAGCACCUACAUCUUGCAUUGCACCGAUUCCUCUGAAUGCUGCCUCGUAAGAACUCCAGACGACACUUCACAGCCCUGAAGCAGAGGGAAGGCCCCAGGGUCAAAGUCGUGCUGUUU